CUCUUGGAUGAAUGCUGCCUAGUUUUGUGGCUAAGAUCGCGCAUAAGAGGCGCGGGCUGCGCCUUGACUUUGUAUGAUCCACAACUCCAGAUCUAAUUGUGGGAAAACAUCAAUGGACUCCAAAUUGACAAUCAUUCUAAAAAGGAUUGAACUCGGGACCUUGUGCUUUCGAGACAGGUGGUGGAACUACUGAGCUAAAUCCCUGGCCCCAGUAGUCCUUCUUUGGGAUGGCCAUGCUCAACCCUGAAGAGUAUGAAGGAAGCUUCAAGCUCAACAAACAGAAGAAACACCUGGAAUCUCCAGGAGGGAGAGGCAGUGGCUGAAGGUUUUGUUUGAGGUAGUAAAUAGGACAUCCUGUCUACAGAGGAACUAUCCAUUCAUGAGUGAAUCGGAUUUCCAAUUGUAUAUUGAAUACAGCAGAAAAUGGCAGUGCCAUCUUGUUCCUCUGUGGCUUGAGAUCUCCUAACCCAGGGAUGAGCUGGAGGAGUACUUUAUAUAUACACACAAAAGUGCUUCCCCCAAGUCUCUCUGCCCUCAGGCAGUGGAAUGGCUCCCUGCAUAGCAAAGGCAGAUCUGGUGUAGGUGCCAUUUCUGGAGGAAAAGGGAAAGACCUGUUACUUUUUCCCCAAAUCAGACCAGCACCAUGAGUGAUCCUGAACUUUAGUUCAUCAGGCUUAAAGAAUAUUUGGGUGCCCUGUAGUUACAAUAGCACAUUGGGGGCUGAAGGUGUAGUUCAGUGGAAGAGCACUUGCCUAGCAUGUGUACCAUGUGUGAAGCCCUGGGUUCAACCCCUAGCACUAUAAAAAUAAAAAGUAUAUUUUAAACCAGGUCUGGUGGUGCACACCUGUAAUCCCAGCACUCAGGAGGCAGGAGGAUUGUCAUGUGUUCAAGGCCAGCCAUAACUACACAGUGAGACCACGUUUCAUAAAAAAAAGAGGUGGCUCUGUCAUGCAAUGGAUACCACACUGAAAACCAAAAAUGAAAACUAAAGGUGUAUUUCAAAACUGCUGAAAUUUCAAGUGUUCUCACCAUAAAAAAUGAUAAGCAUCUGAGGCAAUGAAAAUGUUAAUUGGUUUCAUUUAAUCAUUCUACAUUGUAUACAUAGAUCAUAUCAUAUACUCCAUAAAUGUGUACAAUUUGUG
Molecule: long non-coding RNA, 1142 nt
Filed under: Heterocephalus glaber (naked mole-rat)
Lineage: Eukaryota; Metazoa; Chordata; Mammalia; Rodentia; Bathyergidae
Description: lncRNA (ENSHGLG00100050438.1)
Source: RNAcentral